This 491-nucleotide ribosomal RNA is filed under the name uncultured bacterium. RNAcentral's name for it is "partial 16S ribosomal RNA". It matches the Rfam family "Bacterial small subunit ribosomal RNA", at positions 29 to 506 of the family's 1533-position model. The record is from RNAcentral.
AGUGAACGCUGGCGGUAGGCCUAACACAUGCAAGUCGAACGGCAGCACAGUAAGAGCUUGCUCUUACGGGUGGCGAGUGGCGGACGGGUGAGGAAUACAUCGGAAUCUACUUUUUCGUGGGGGAUAACGUAGGGAAACUUACGCUAAUACCGCAUACGACCUACGGGUGAAAGCAGGGGAUCUUCGGACCUUGCGCGAUUGAAUGAGCCGAUGUCGGAUUAGCUAGUUGGCGGGGUAAAGGCCCACCAAGGCGACGAUCCGUAGCUGGUCUGAGAGGAGGAUCAGCCACACUGGAACUGAGACACGGUCCAGACUCUUAGGGGAGGCAGAAGUGGGGAAUAUUGGAAAAUGGGCGCAAGCUUGAUCAAGCCAUACCGCGUGGGUGAAGAAGGCCUUCGGGUUGUAAAGCCCUUUUGUUGGGAAAGAAAAGCAGCAGGUUAAUACCACGCUGUUCUGACGGUACCCAAAGAAUAAGCACCGGCUAAUUUCGU